AUUGAACGCUGGCGGCAGGCCUAACACAUGCAAGUCGAACGGCAGCACAGAAGAGCUUGCUCUUUGGGUGGCGAGUGGCGGACGGGUGAGUAAUGUCUGGGAAACUGCCCGAUGGAGAGGGAUAACUACUGGAAACGGUAGCUAAUACCGCAUAACGUCGCGAGACCAAAGUGGGGGACCUUCCGGCCUCACACCAUCGGAUGUGCCCAGAUGGGAUUAGCUAGUAGGUGGGGUGAUGGCUCACGUAGGCGACGAUCCCUAGCUGGUCUGAGAGGAUGACAAGCCACACUGGAACGGAGACACGGUCCAGACUCCGACGGGAGGCAGCAGUGGGGAGUAUGGCACAAUGGGCGCAAGCCUGAUGCAGCCAUGCCGCGUGUAGGAAGAAGGCCUUGGGGUUGUAAAGUACUUUCAGCGGGGAGGAAGGCGGUGAGGUUAAUAACCUCGCCGAUUGACGUUACCCGCAGAAGAAGCACCGGCUAACUCCGUGCCAGCAGCCGCCGUAA
Molecule: ribosomal RNA, 506 nt
Filed under: uncultured bacterium
Lineage: Bacteria
Description: partial 16S ribosomal RNA
Rfam family: Bacterial small subunit ribosomal RNA
Source: RNAcentral